Numida meleagris (helmeted guineafowl) is the source of this 1655-nucleotide long non-coding RNA. RefSeq lists it as uncharacterized. The record is from RefSeq and is a predicted model, not a curated record. The transcript has 2 exons. NCBI's taxonomy places the organism in Eukaryota, Metazoa, Chordata, Aves, Galliformes, Numididae.
CGGAUCUCCUUGACCAGCAACAGCAAAAUAGGUGAUCUCCCACUGCAGCGGGACCCCCUCCCCACCAUAAAGGGGCGUCUUCGCUUUGGGCUCAUUUUCCUUAAUCCGGAUAAUGGAGAUAAACCGAAGCAGCUGCCUUCGCAGAGGGGAACUCCGUCCGCUGAUCAGCCCCAGGGAGAGGAGCGGGGUUGGUCAUAGAGGUGGGGGGAUCGGAGUGAGCAGAUUCAGGAGCACAGGGGAGCCCCAAAGCAGGAGGUGGCACAACGAGGGAAGAAAAACGAUCCGUUUUCCCCGGGCAACUUGAAAACAGGGAUCUUUCCAGCCGCGAUGUCUCUAAUCCCAAAGCAAUUAUUUCCUAAUUGACGGGAAUUGCUUCUGCCGUCCGGACCCGGCUUCCCCCCCAUGUACCGACACCUGCGGGGCUCUGAGCUGGGAUUCUCCUGGAGCUACGAACGGGGACGGGGUGGGGGGACCCCGGUUUUCUCCGCUGAGAUAGAAACGCAGGGGAAGAAAAGCGAUUUCGAUUGAGGGAUUCGAGUAAUGCGGUCUCCCCGUGUUUUUACCCUUCGGAAAAGGAUGGAGUUAAGUUUCUGCAGUGCAGAACAUCAGCAUCCGACCGUGUGCUGCUCGUAAACCGACAAGCCCUCCGUUGUAUUCAUGCACAGAAUUUAAUGUAGUCUGGCACUUCCUAUAAGCAAACAAUUCACCGACCCAUCGGCUGAUACUCGGCUUUUUAUCUUCCCCCAUUCUGGCAAAUGCUGUUUGGGUGUUCGAUUGAUUCACAGCCGCGCAUUCAUUUCCCAACCCAAAUGAACUCGACCGCAGCUGGGAACGAGCCACAGAGUUUAAAUCAAACCGUGUGAAGCCGCGAAUUGGUCGCUGGAAGUGCCAGGAGCCACCUGGGUCGGGGUCUGGGCAUUCACCGAGUGCUAAAGCUGCUCAGGUUCCCCAGGACCCCGCGGCGAGGCGGAGUCCGUGUCCCCACCCUCAGCCUCCUCUCCGCCCAAAGGCGGGGGCCGGGAAUAAGGAACGGGGCGGAGCGGGGGGGAGAGGUGACCUUUGAAACCCCCCCCCUCCCCGGAGCACCGAGAUCCCAGUCCUUCCCUAUUGCUGCUCCCACUUCGUGCUGAGCUCUCGGAUUGGACUCAAGAGCUGAGGAGGGGGGAGGAUGCGAGUGUCUCCCGGUUUGCUGCGGUCUUUGCUCCAUCCAGGGGACACUGAGCCCACCCAUCCCCGGGGGGUAGCUCCCUUUGGAUGGUCCAUCGCUGUGCUCAGGAAGGCAGGAGGAGCCCGACUGAGCCACCCGGCCGCUUUUUGGUUGUGCACAAAUCUCCCCUCGCAGUGCAGAUGAAAACAAUAAAUAUAUAUUUUUUAAAUCAUCCCAAAAAGCGCUGUCCCAAAUUCCCACUGACUGUGACCCAAGUGAUAUUUCCACACUGGGGCUGCCCUGUGGACGUGCUCGGCUCAGAUCCCCGAUGUUUUGCCUGCUCUGAAGACCUUAGUCCAAACGUUUUGCCGUGAAUAUCAGGAAACUUAAUUCCCAUUGCUACGGGCACUGCAGGGGCUGAGCACCUCAGCCACCAUCCUGCUGCUCUGCACACUUCUGUGCCCAGCCUGGGGCUGAAGGAGCCAUCACUCAUCUCGCUGUGAUUUAU